UACGUAGGGUGCAAGCGUUAAUCGGAAUUACUGGGCGUAAAGCGUGCGCAGGCGGUGAUGUAAGACAGGUGUGAAAUCCCCGGGCUUAACCUGGGAACUGCAUUUGUGACUGCAUCGCUGGAGUGCGGCAGAGGGGGAUGGAAUUCCGCGUGUAGCAGUGAAAUGCGUAGAUAUGCGGAGGAACACCGAUGGCGAAGGCAAUCCCCUGGGCCUGCACUGACGCUCAUACACGAAAGCGUGGGGAGCAAACAGGAUUAGAAACCCUGGUAGUCC
This 273-nucleotide ribosomal RNA is filed under the name uncultured bacterium. Its description in RNAcentral is "partial 16S ribosomal RNA". It matches the Rfam family "Bacterial small subunit ribosomal RNA", at positions 524 to 796 of the family's 1533-position model. The record is from RNAcentral.